This 948-nucleotide non-coding RNA is filed under the name Argas africolumbae. Lineage: Eukaryota; Metazoa; Arthropoda; Arachnida; Ixodida; Argasidae. The record is from RNAcentral.
UAAUUGUUUGCUUUGCUCGGAAGAAGCAAGUUCGUUGUUGAUAUUCAUUUCUUACAAAUUAAUGAAGGAGAGAAAGAAAAUUAAAGCAUAAGUGUUAUCCUAUCAUAAAAGGUGAUUUUACUAGUUCCUCGCCGGAACAUUAAAUUAUUUCAUAACUACUACUUGUUAAUAAAAAGUUAACAAUGGGAAUGAAAUAAUAUUUUAUACCUUUUCUCUACCUUAUAAGAAAAAAAAAGGUAGAGAAAAGGAAAAUGGUGUUUAUAUAGCACAUAAACUAUCGUUAUUAAAUUUCUUUAUAUUAUUUAAUAGAAGUUUUUCAUAUAGAAGAUAAACUUAUAAAUUUUGUAAGUUAAAAAUAGAAUUUAAUUUUUGCCUGGCGAAGCCUGUGCCAGCCGCCGCGGUUAUACAGGCAGGUUGAGAUUGUUUUUUUGGAAAAGGAAAAAUUUUUUUGAUGAAAAGGUUUUCUUUAGGUGAAAUUUUGAAAAUGAUGAUUUUUAUUUGGCUUUUGAAAACUAUGAAUUAAACUAGGAUUAGAUACCCUAUUAUUAUUAAUAAUUAUAUUGGUAGUACACAAUAAUUGUGAAAUCAAAAGAUUUUGGCGGUAUUUUAAGCUUUUUAGAGGAAUUUGCUCUAUAAUUGAUAUGACACCUAGAUCUUACUUAAAUUGGUUAAGACAGUUUGUAUAUCGCUAUUUUUAUAACUAUAUUGAAUGAUAAUAGUUGGAAUGAAUUUUUUUCUGUAUUUUAGGUCAAGAUGCAAUAUAAAUUUAAGGUUGAAGUGAAUUAUGAUAAUUUUUAUUGGAUAGUAGAUGAAAAAAAAAUUAAGAUUUAAAAGUAAAAUAGUAUUAUAAUGACUGUUUGAAUAAAGCUCUAAAAUAUGUACAUAUCGCCCGUCACUCUCAUGUUUGAGAUAAGUCGUAACAAAGUAAGGGUACUGGAAAGUGUCCUU